GAGUUUGAUCGUGGCUCAGAACGAACGCUGGCGGCGGGGUUUAGGCAUGCAAGUCGCGCGAGAAAGGGGCAACCCGAGUACAGCGGCGCAAGGGUGAGUAACAGUUAGUCAACGUACCCAGGUGACGCGGAUAAUUCUCCGAAAGGGGUUGUAAUACGCGAUGAGACCACGGGGCUUCCGGGCCCAGAGGUCAAAGGUCGGGGAUCCUUCGGGACCUGGCGCACUUGGAGCGGACUAACGCCGAUUAGCUAGAUGGCGGGGUAACGGCCCACCAUGGCGAUGAUCGGUAGCCGGCCUGAGAGGGUGUCCGGCCACACUGGGACUGAGACACUGCCCAGACUCCUACGGGAGGCUGCAGUCGCGAAUCAUUCACAAUGGGCGCAAGCCUGAUGAUGCCACGCCGCGUGCGGGAUGAAGGCCCUUUGGGUUGUAAACCGCUGUCAAGGGAGGGAACCGCGCGCAGUCAACAGCUGCGCGUCUGACUGCUCCCUAAAGGAAGCCCGGCAAACAUGUGCCAGCAGCCGAC
This 526-nucleotide ribosomal RNA is filed under the name uncultured bacterium. RNAcentral's name for it is "partial 16S ribosomal RNA". It matches the Rfam family "Bacterial small subunit ribosomal RNA", at positions 9 to 518 of the family's 1533-position model. The record is from RNAcentral.